CCCCUUUUACUUUCUACCUUUACAAUUCCCACCCUCAAAGCUAAUGAAGUAAAGUUUUCCACGUGUUACUAUUGCUUUUGUCUUCUUUGAAAGGGAGAAAGUGGGAGAAAGAGAGAUGGGAACUCCGGUGUCCCCUCCGACGACCCGUGACGGCCUAAUCCAGCGCGUACACAACCCGCGACUAUAUAAGGGAGAUUGGUGAACCUAACGGUGGUGUUCGUACGGUCAGAUGAGUGACGUCAGUGGUUUUAAUGGAGUAAAUAGUAGCGGAGGCUAGGGUUUCUUAUUCUGUAUAUUUACAUGACGGUUGAUUAACUAGGGUUACGCCAUAAUAUUGUAGAAAUGGUGGUGGUUUGCUCACACCCGGUGUAUGAAGAUGAUCUAUGGCAGGAAAUUUUAUCCAUUUUAUAAACAACUAUGUGCCUAAAACCCAAGAUCCCUGCUCUGUGGUUUUUUGUGGGUGGCCGGAAAGUUGAAGGUGGCCGGAUUUCUUCUUACAAGCUGGCAUGAACACGGGGUGGUACCACCAGCCCAUCAGUUGUACCGCAGCAGUUUAGGAAGAGAGAGGAACACGUUGCAAAAAAUUGAACGUGGCAAAAAACUAAAUUAUGAAGACCCCAUACUUAUCCUUUCCUUGCCAAGAGUGGAAUAUGAAGGAGAAAGAAAGGGAGUAUGUUGAGGAUAUUGAUGUAAAAGUAUUUUUUUUAUAUUGUACAUAAAUAUGUUUUAAAUAUUAACUAUUUGAAUUAUAUUGGAUAAGUUGAUGCAAAAGUAUUUUUAUGUACACUUGGUACUUGAAACUCAAGUGCAUCAAGAGAUGGUCAUUCUGGAA
Helianthus annuus (common sunflower) is the source of this 832-nucleotide long non-coding RNA. RefSeq lists it as uncharacterized. NCBI's taxonomy places the organism in Eukaryota, Viridiplantae, Streptophyta, Magnoliopsida, Asterales, Asteraceae. The transcript is spliced from 2 exons. The record is from RefSeq and is a predicted model, not a curated record.